CUCCCAAGGAGGAAGGAUCUCUAUCUGGAGAUCACUUCUCUUGGAGCCCUUCUGCGAGCAUAGGAUAUGGGUAAAAUUGAGGGGAACUCAUGAUAUGAAGCUCCUGGGAAGAGGGAGGUGCUAAAUACUGUCAAGAGCAGUUUUUAUUGAUGUAAAUCCAGGCGUGGGGCCUCCAAAAAAGAAGAACAUGGAGCUGCUGGAGUGAGUCUAUAGGAAGGUCUCCAAGAGCAGCUAGCAGAAUACAAGACCCUCCAAGGACUGAAAUUCAGUAUGUUAUAAAGCCUGUGAGCCAAGACCACAUCCAUCACCAUGGUUCAGCAGAUCUUCCUGUGUGCAUCUUCAGGCUUUGGACAAGCAUGGGUCUUUUCUUGCUUUGAGAACCUCAUCCUCCUUACAGAAGUGCUGACCGAGUGCAGUUCGGUGUACUCUUUACAGCAGGAGGCACUGUGACAGUUUAGGAC
This is a long non-coding RNA of Gallus gallus (chicken), 461 nucleotides long. NCBI's taxonomy places the organism in Eukaryota, Metazoa, Chordata, Aves, Galliformes, Phasianidae. The record is from Ensembl.